GAGUUUGAUCUUGGCUCAGAUUGAACGCUGGCGGCAGGCCUAACACAUGCAAGUCGAGCGGAUGAAGGGAGCUUGCUCCUGGAUUCAGCGGCGGACGGGUGAGUAAUGCCUAGGAAUCUGCCUGGUAGUGGGGAUAACGUCCGGAAACGGGCGCUAAUACCGCAUACGUCCUGAGGGAGAAAGUGGGGGAUCUUCGGACCUCACGCUAUCAGAUGAGCCCAGGUCGGAUUAGCUAGUUGGUGGGUAAAGGCCUACCAAGGCGACGAUCCGUAACUGGUCUGAGAGGAUGAUCAGUCACACUGGAACUGAGACACGGUCCAGACUCCUACGGGAGGCAGCAGUGGGGAAUAUUGGACAAUGGCGAAAGCCUGAUCCAGCCAUGCCGCGUGUGUGAGAAGGUCUUCGGAUUGUAAAGCACUUUAAGUUGGGUAGGAAGGGCGAGUAAGUUAAUACCUUGCUGUUUUGACGUUUACCAAC
Molecule: ribosomal RNA, 477 nt
Filed under: uncultured microorganism
Description: bacterial SSU rRNA
Rfam family: Bacterial small subunit ribosomal RNA
Source: RNAcentral